GGUGUACAUCAGCAUCCCACCCUUGAGUGAGUCAUCAGUCGACGAGUCUGGAUGCUGUCAAGAAGAGAUCAAUGCAGCUGCAGCAGCGAUCAAAGCGUGCGAUGAACUGACUCACGAAUGACUAAGGAACGAUCUGGCAGGAAAAGUGGUCAGAAAUCUACAUAGUUACAUAAAAAAAGCAGAAGAUUUUGUAUCACCAGAACUCAUUGUCUCAUGUUGACUCACGAGUUUCACCGACUGUCAGACACACAUACUAAUCACGAAGACAAAUUACAGAUCAAGAACAUUAUAUACCAUUUGGUGAAGGACUCGGUCGGAGUAUUACUGAGUGAACGAUAGCGGCAUCGUGAUGGAUGCCGAUCCUCACGUAAUCGCUUUAAUCCUUUAAUGCAGACAGUACUAAAACUUGUUUAACUGGUAUACCUUUCAUCACAACAGACGUACUGUACUGUUUGUUCUUA
Molecule: long non-coding RNA, 461 nt
Organism: Corticium candelabrum
Lineage: Eukaryota; Metazoa; Porifera; Homoscleromorpha; Homosclerophorida; Plakinidae
Exons: 6
Source: RefSeq, a predicted model, not a curated record